Molecule: non-coding RNA, 194 nt
Filed under: Paenibacillus sp.
Lineage: Bacteria; Bacillati; Bacillota; Bacilli; Caryophanales; Paenibacillaceae
Source: RNAcentral
CUGAAAUAAGUGGAAAUAGGUGCUCUUGCGGUAUAGCUUGAGCUUAAAAGGGAAGUCCGGUGUAAAACCGACGCGGUCCCGCCACUGUAACAGAGGAGUCUAAGCGCUAACGCCACUGAUCUUUAAAGGUUGGGAAGGCAAGCUUACGAUGAUGAUUCUGGAGCCAGGAGACCUGCCUAUUUGAACGACACUGA